CGCUGGCGGCGUGCUCAUACAUGCAAGUCGAACGAGAAUCUGGCUUCGGUCAGAGGAAGGUGGCGGACGGGUGAGUAAUGUGUAGAGAAUCUGCCCUUAGUGGGGGACAACAGUUGGAAACGACUGCUAAUACCCCAUAUGCGCGUAGCUGAGAUGCUAUUCGUGAAAACUCCGGUGCUAAAGGAUGAGUCUGCAUCUGAUUAGCUAGUUGGCGGUGUAAUGGACCACCAAGGCGACGAUCAGUAGCUGGUUUGAGAGGAUGAUCAGCCACAAUGGGACUGAGACACGGCCCAUACUCCUACGGGAGGCAGCAGUAGGGAAUUUUGCGCAAUGGGGGAAACCCUGACGCCAGCAACGCCGCGUGAUUGAAUAAGCCCUUCGGGGUGUAAAGAUCUGUCAGUAGGGACGAAACUUGACGGUACCUACAGAGGAAGCAUCGGCUAACUCCGUGCCAGCAGCUGC
This 462-nucleotide ribosomal RNA is filed under the name uncultured bacterium. Its description in RNAcentral is "bacterial SSU rRNA". It matches the Rfam family "Bacterial small subunit ribosomal RNA", at positions 34 to 518 of the family's 1533-position model. The record is from RNAcentral.